AACGGCGAGUGAAGCGGGAAGAGCUCAAGCUUAAAAUCUCCGUGCAAGUUUUUGUGCGGCGAAUUGUAGUCUAUAGAGGCGUGGUCAGCGUGGGCGCUUGGGGCAAGUUCCUUGGAAGAGGACAGCAUGGAGGGUGAUACUCCCGUUCAUCCCUGAGUGGCUCGUGCGUACGACCCGUUUUCUUUGAGUCGCGUUGUUUGGGAAUGCAGCGCAAAGUAGGUGGUAAAUUCCAUCUAAAGCUAAAUAUUGGUGCGAGACCGAUAGCGAACAAGUACCGUGAGGGAAAGAUGAAAAGAACUUUGAAAAGAGAGUUAAAGAGUACCUGAAACUGCUGAAAGGGAACCGAAUCGUUUCCAGUGUCUAUAAUCUGUGGCAUAUUUCAUUGGCGAGCGUUUGCGUGCGUGUGCUGUGGCAGUGGCUUUUUUGGCUGCGCCUGGUGUGUGUGGUGUGAGUGUUUGCUGGUGCCCUGUGCUGCGGUGGGACGUCAAGGUCAGUUCGUAUGCUGCGGGAAAAUGGCUGCCGAGGAGGUAGGGCUUACGCUCCGCGUUUGUCUGUUAUAUCUUGGUGGACGAGUCGUCGCGGUUGGGACUGAGGUGCCUACAACGUGCUUUUGAGUGGGUUUGUGUCUCCGUGUGCGCCGUGUGCGGAUAGCUUGCUAUGCGUGUGUGGUUGUGUGUGGAUUGAUGCGGGCCUUAACUUGUCGCCGUUCGGGAACGUUGACGAAAUGGACCGAUCCGACCC
Molecule: ribosomal RNA, 741 nt
Filed under: Phytophthora colocasiae
Lineage: Eukaryota; Oomycota; Peronosporomycetes; Peronosporales; Peronosporaceae
Description: eukaryotic LSU rRNA
Rfam family: Eukaryotic large subunit ribosomal RNA
Source: RNAcentral